CAGCAAAUUAUAAUGAUGAGAGAUAUGUGGAAAUUUUAAAGAUGUACAGGAUAGAGUAAGUUAAAAUGCAAGCAGGCAGAAUGAGGCAGAAUGACACUGGACAAUCACUGUGGGAGGAGGAAGAUGAGUUUAAAGUAAAGAUCAAAUUCUCCAAAGUCCAAUGACUGCUGAGCCAAUGGCUGGCCCUGACUAAUGAUCUUCACUGGUUAUGUCUGCUUCCAAAAUGUGGUUUCUAUUGCU
This 240-nucleotide long non-coding RNA is filed under the name Homo sapiens (human). Its description in RNAcentral is "HSALNT0161427". The record is from RNAcentral. Lineage: Eukaryota; Metazoa; Chordata; Mammalia; Primates; Hominidae.